Molecule: long non-coding RNA, 1158 nt
Filed under: Canis lupus familiaris (dog)
Lineage: Eukaryota; Metazoa; Chordata; Mammalia; Carnivora; Canidae
Description: lncRNA (ENSCAFG00040013957.1)
Source: RNAcentral
UUGCAAGAGGCGCUCGGAACGCGUGCACGAGCUCCACCACGGAGCAGGCUUGUUUUCCCCAGGGGUGCAGCACUCCCUUUUUCCCCUCACCAGCAUCGCGGCAGCCACGCCUCCCUGCCCCACCCUCUUUGGGUGCGGAGAGUUAUCCGGGCUCGAACUUGGCUCUUCGCGAUCCUGCCCUGCCCUGCCCCGCACAGCGGGGUCGGCAAAGGGCACCGCAGAACCCCGUCCUCCCGCCACCGAGAGCCCCAGCAGCCACCCGCCGGAGCUCCGAAGGCACGCACAGGCCUGCGCAGGCGCGCCGGCCUUGGCAGCAGCCGCUUCCGGGUCACGUGGCCCGACUUCCGGCCCAGACCACCCCUCUCGGUAGGGACGCGGCCAAUCGGCUUUCUCGGACGGUGCGAUCGCCCGCGCCGCCUCCGGUGCCGUUGGCGACGGCCUAGCGGGUUCCCGCGCGUCGUCCAGCCCGCCCCUCCGCUCGCCGCAGCCCCGGCUCCUCCCUCGUCCGGCCCACGGGGCGGGGUCUGUCGGCUCGCCCUCCCCUCGCCGCCUAAGCCUUUCCUCCGCCGGCUGGGUCCCCUCCCCACAGCAACACGGCUUCUCUUCCAGCGCUCGGCGACAGGGGCUUCCCCUCAGCCGCCGCCGGCACCGCCGCCGCCGCCGCCGCCGCCGCCGCCGGCCGAGCUCCGCCGCGCCCGCGGCCGCGGCCGCCGUAAGUCCCGGGGGGCAAGCGGGGGCGUCGAGGACAGGGAGCCGGGAGGGAGGGUCGGGCGCGCCCUCCGCCGCCCCGCGGGCGCCCCGACGACCCCACCCGGUGCCUGGCCGCCCGGCCCGCCAGUGGCUCGCGGCGCCCGGCAACUCACUUCUCUCGGUGUCCGCGCCCCUCUCCACUCCGCGCCGCGCCGGGGGAUGCGGGGGGCCCCGCGGCACCUGUGGUUCGGGAAUCACCUCAAGUUUUGCGGGGCAUUUUCGGGAGGGGCCCGCGGCCGGGGCGGGGGCGGCGGAGGACCCUUGGCGCCCCCUGCGCGGCGGCGAAUGCCAUUGUCUGCCCCGCUCCUAGCCUGUCACCUCACGCGGGCUCGGUCAGUGAUGGAGCGCGGCCCCGUGGGGCGGUGGGGGGGCGUCGGACGCGGCCGGACCGAGGAACGCUGGCCCUGA